GCAAAGGAAAAUUCUCUCCUGAUGAGACUGAUGAUGAGGAAUCUGAGUUAUGCAUUGUGAAAAGCAAAUGCAAGGUUAUUUGUCCAAUAUGCACUAAGGACUUUCCUGAAGAUGAGAUCACAGUCCACGCAAGUCUGUGUGGGGAUAGCUUUCAAUGCAUGGUGCCUGAAGAAAAUGACCAAACUACAUGCACACCAACUCAAACUUCAGUAUGCACAACAGACAGCGUGGAAGAUGUAUUGCGUUGCCUUGAACAACAAGUCGGCACCACAACAGAAUUUAAGUUGUGUGUGGACAGAGAAGACCUUCCAGACAGAGGCAUUCUCCAGUGGCAGAGAAAAAAAUCUGCAUCUCCCACCAGUGUUCUUAGGGUGGUUUUCAUUGGAGAGGCAGGCGUGGAUACAGGAGCACUUAGGAAAG
Molecule: long non-coding RNA, 420 nt
Organism: Polypterus senegalus (gray bichir)
Lineage: Eukaryota; Metazoa; Chordata; Cladistia; Polypteriformes; Polypteridae
Exons: 5
Source: RefSeq, a predicted model, not a curated record